Non-coding RNA from Peromyscus maniculatus bairdii (prairie deer mouse), 558 nucleotides. The record is from RefSeq and is a predicted model, not a curated record. NCBI's taxonomy places the organism in Eukaryota, Metazoa, Chordata, Mammalia, Rodentia, Cricetidae.
GGAAGGGGCUGAGAAGUUAGAAAAGGAAGAAGAUGGUCUAACAGCUCUUGGCAGGAGGACAUCAGGAGGCAUCCAGAAAGAAGAGCUAUCCAUCUCUGGAAACUCCACUGUUCACUGUCUGCCUAUCAUUCAUUGUCCUUCUAAUAGCCCUAACGUCCUUUGGGACAUCUAUCAGGAUCCGUGACUAAAGCAUGUGACCAAGAAGGAUAGUCAGAUCUGUGCUAACUUCAGGAUUUUCCCUGGAGGUCUCUAGACAAAGAAUGGUAGGGAAAUGGAUGUGAGGCCAAAGGUACUGCUAACCCAGGGAUGAACCCAGCAACCAGAGUGGAGCACAGUGCUGAGGAUGAUGAGCGGUCCGCAGUCCCCCAUGAUACCACUGGCCUCUGAUUCCCACAUUCUCAAGCCUGCUGGCUUCUGGACUUGCCAGGGAGCUGAGAGGUGGUGACAUUAAACAGUUCUGCACUGCUGCUAUAAAUCAACGGGCUGGGGAUGCUCUCAGCGUGAGACAAGGACUCCUUGGAAACCACUCUCCUCAGUGCAACCAGCUGUCAGAAUUCU